GCAUAUCCAAUAAGCGGAGGAAAAGAACCAACAGGGAUUGCCUAAUAAACGGGCGAGUGAAGCGGCAACAGCUCAAAUUUGAAAGCUAGCCUUCGGGUUCGCAUUGUAAUUUGUAGAGGAUGCUUUGGGUAAAACGCCAGUCUAAGUUCCUUGGAACAGGACGUCAUAGAGGGUGAGAAUCCCGUAUGUGACUGGAAAUGUUAACCUAUGUAAAGCUCCUUCGACGAGUCGAGUUGUUUGGGAAUGCAGCUCUAAAUGGGAGGUAAAUUUCUUCUAAAGCUAAAUAUUGGCGAGAGACCGAUAGCGCACAAGUAGAGUGAUCGAAAGAUGAAAAGCACUUUGGAAAGAGAGUUAAAAAGCACGUGAAAUUGUUGAAAGGGAAGCGCUUGCAAUCAGACUUGUUUAAACUGUUCGGCCGGUCUUCUGACCGGUUUACUCAGUUUGGACAGGCCAGCAUCAGUUUCGGCGGCCGGAUAAAGGCAUUGGGAAUGUGGCCUUCACUUCGGUGGAGGUGUUAUAGCCCAGUGUGUAAUACGGCCAGCCGGGACUGAGUCCGCGCUUCGGCUAGAAGCUGCGUAAUGGUUGUA
This 587-nucleotide ribosomal RNA is filed under the name Aureobasidium pullulans. RNAcentral's name for it is "eukaryotic LSU rRNA". It matches the Rfam family "Eukaryotic large subunit ribosomal RNA", at positions 38 to 642 of the family's 3401-position model. Lineage: Eukaryota; Fungi; Ascomycota; Dothideomycetes; Dothideales; Saccotheciaceae. The record is from RNAcentral.